This is a non-coding RNA of Phoenix dactylifera (date palm), 575 nucleotides long. The record is from RefSeq and is a predicted model, not a curated record. Lineage: Eukaryota; Viridiplantae; Streptophyta; Magnoliopsida; Arecales; Arecaceae.
CGCAUCCCCUCUUCCCAGACGGCUCUCUUCGAUCUCUCGGUUUCUUCUUCUCUUCCUCCGCCUGCAACUUUUCUCCAAUUCCUUUUGGUCCAUCGCUCCUAGAAAAAUCUCUCUCUCUCUCUCUCUCUCUCUCUCUCUCUCUCUCUCUCUCUCUCUUUCUCUGUCUCUCUCUCUUGCUAUGCUGCCUUUGGAGCGUGAUGAUAUGCUAAUGUCGCCCCAGUCUUACGAUCCGUUCACCUUGUGAAUGGAUGAUGAGGUUGAUUUGUUUGGACAGCUGCGUACCUGGGGGUGGUGUUGAUGCUGAUCAUUUAUCUCCACAUCUGUCAGUUGUAUGAAUACUUCCGUGGGAGUUGAAUUGUAACAUGCAAGUACUGAAUUGUUUUGUUGGACUUAGAUAAAUGAACCAAAAUAAGGAGCGAUUUUAUGUUUGCAUGACCAAAUCGGUGAACUUUGAGCGGCAUGUGUGUGAUCCCGCAGCAGGCGAGAGCUGCUAUUCUGAAUUAUUUUUUCUACUUUCGUUGAUGGGCAACAACAUUUGCUUUUUAAAACUAAUUUAAUUAUUGAUAUAUAUUUUU